CCUUCAUCUCUGACCACAAGCUCCACACAGUUCUGAAGUUUUCCACAAGGUACUUGUUUACAUCUAGUGCCUGUACAUCUAGUACAUCUCAGAGGCUGAGUCUGAGAAAGGUUACACUAUCUAGACACAGGUCUAGGGAUGCAUCAGGACCUGAGGGACAAGCCAGUCUGUAGAUCCUGGAAGCACAAGAGUAGAAGACUCAACAGCAAAGAAAACAGAAAAAACUAGAGCAUGGCCUGUGUCCUCAUGGCGCUUCCUAUUAAGCUGAGUGGAUGCCACGAUGAGGUAAGCAGCUUCCUCUAACACAAAGUCCUGCCAUAAUGAACCAUGUGCCUUGCUACAGUCCCAAAAGCAACAGGCCAACCAACUGUGGACUGAAACCUCCAAAACUGUGAGCCAAAAUAAACCUUUCCUCUUUCUAAGCUGAUUAUCUGAGGUAUUUGUUAUAGCAAUAGAAAGCUGACUAAAAUAGCCUACAAUGGAUUGCAAUACAUCAAAUAUGUUAAAAAUCUGUAUGUUCAUAAAGACACAGAAAAGAAUUUGUUAGUUUUGGAGGUUGUUAGGAAAACAAGACAUUAUCCUGAAAACUAGUAAAGAAUCAAGCAUUUAUUGUAGCUUUCCCAUGUAAACUCUAUCAUUGAAAAUAAAAAAUUAGUUGAUUAAAAAAAAGUUCAGAAAGAAUGUGUUUCCUUGUGGUCACAGUUCCUGUGAAGCAGCUCCUCUUCCACAGACACAGCUGUCACUUAGUUCCUGGAACACUGUCCUUUCCCCAUGCACCUUCAGGGCAAAGGAUGCUGUAUUAGUUUGCAAGGGCUGCUGUAAUAAAGAACCACAAACUGAGUGACUUAAACAGCAGAAUUGUAUUAUUUCACAGUUCUGGGGGCUAGAAGUCUGAGAUCAAGGUGUCAGUUGGGUU
Heterocephalus glaber (naked mole-rat) is the source of this 916-nucleotide long non-coding RNA. The record is from Ensembl. Lineage: Eukaryota; Metazoa; Chordata; Mammalia; Rodentia; Bathyergidae.